Molecule: transfer RNA, 74 nt
Filed under: Stegodyphus mimosarum
Lineage: Eukaryota; Metazoa; Arthropoda; Arachnida; Araneae; Eresidae
Rfam family: tRNA
About the family: Transfer RNA (tRNA) molecules are approximately 80 nucleotides in length. Their secondary structure includes four short double-helical elements and three loops (D, anti-codon, and T loops).
Source: Rfam by way of RNAcentral
GCUUUCGUGGUGUUGUGGUCAGCACGCUCGACGUGUAUUUCAAGAGGUCCGUGGUUCGAGUCCCGGUGAGGGCA